This 355-nucleotide ribosomal RNA is filed under the name uncultured bacterium. RNAcentral describes it as "SSU rRNA". It matches the Rfam family "Bacterial small subunit ribosomal RNA", at positions 26 to 374 of the family's 1533-position model. The record is from RNAcentral.
AGAACGAACGCUGGCGGCGUGGAUAAGACAUGCAAGUCGAACGCGACUUAUUUGGUUAGCAAUAACUAGAUAAGUUGAGUGGCGAAAGGGUGCGUAACACGUGGGAAUUUACCAAGAAGUGGGGAAUAGCUCGACGAAAGUCGAAUUAAUACCGCAUGUGAUCGAAAGAUCAAAGUCGGGGACCGCAAGGCCUGACGCUUUUUGAGAAGCCCGCGGCCCAUCAGCUAGUUGGUGAGGUAAUGGCUCACCAAGGCUAUGACGGGUAGCUGGUCUGAGAGGACGACCAGCCACACUGGAACUGAGACACGGUCCAGACACCUACGGGUGGCAGCAGUCGAGAAUUUUUUCACAAUGG